AAGGAUGAUUAACUCCAACCCCUGUGACAUACCAAUUGUUGCCUCGGCGGAUCAGCCCGCUCCCGGUAAAACGGGACGGCCCGCCAGAGGACCCCUAAACUCUGUUUCUAUAUGUAACUUCUGAGUAAAACCAUAAAUAAAUCAAAACUUUCAACAACGGAUCUCUUGGUUCUGGCAUCGAUGAAGAACGCAGCAAAAUGCGAUAAGUAAUGUGAAUUGCAGAAUUCAGUGAAUCAUCGAAUCUUUGAACGCACAUUGCGCCCGCCAGUAUUCUGGCGGGCAUGCCUGUUCGAGCGUCAUUUCAACCCUCAAGCCCUCGGGUUUGGUGUUGGGGAUCGGCGAGCCCUUGCGGCAAGCCGGCCCCGAAAUCUAGUGGCGGUCUCGCUGCAGCUUCCAUUGCGUAGUAGUAAAACCCUCGCAACUGGUACGCGGCGCGGCCAAGCCGUUAAACCCCCAACUUCUGAAUGUUGACCUCGGAUCAGGUAGGAAUACCCGCUGAACUUAAGCAUAUCAAUAAGCGGAGGA
RNAcentral lists this ribosomal RNA (525 nucleotides) under Fusarium proliferatum. Its description in RNAcentral is "eukaryotic LSU rRNA". The stretch from base 146 to 299 matches the Rfam family "5.8S ribosomal RNA". Lineage: Eukaryota; Fungi; Ascomycota; Sordariomycetes; Hypocreales; Nectriaceae. The record is from RNAcentral.